Trichobilharzia regenti is the source of this 45-nucleotide non-coding RNA. The record is from Rfam. Lineage: Eukaryota; Metazoa; Platyhelminthes; Trematoda; Strigeidida; Schistosomatidae.
AUCCAGAUGACGAGUACCAAAUAGGACGAAAUGCACAUCCUGGAU